AACGGCGAGUGAAGCGGCAAAAGCUCAAAUUUGAAAUCUGGCUCCUUAGGGGUCCGAGUUGUAAUUUGUAGAGGAUGCUUCGGGUGCGGCCACGGUCUAAGUUCCUUGGAACAGGACGUCAUAGAGGGUGAGAAUCCCGUCUUGGGCCGUUGGUCCACGCCCGUGUGAAGCUCCUUCGACGAGUCGAGUUGUUUGGGAAUGCAGCUCUAAGCGGGUGGUAAAUUUCAUCUAAAGCUAAAUAUUGGCCGGAGACCGAUAGCGCACAAGUAGAGUGAUCGAAAGGUUAAAAGCACCUUGAAAAGGGAGUUAAACAGCACGUGAAAUUGUUGAAAGGGAAGCGCUUGCGGCCAGACUCGGGCGCGGGGUUCAGCGGGUGCGCGUCACCCGUGCACUCCCCGCCGCCCGGGCCAGCAUCAGUUCUGACGACCGGUCAAAGGCCCCCGGAAUGUGUCGUCUCUCGGGACGUCUUAUAGCCGGGGGUGCAAUGCGGCCCGUCGGGACUGAGGAACGCGCUUCGGCUCGGAUGCUGGCGUAAUGGCCGUAAGCGGCCCGUCUUGAAACACGGACCAAGGAGUCUAACAUCCACGCGAGUGUUCGGGUGUCAAACCCGUGCGCGCAGUGAAAGCGAACGGAGGUGGGAGCCUUAGGGCGCACCAUCGACCGAUCCUGAAGUCUUCGGAUGGAUUUGAGUAGGAGCGUGGCCGUUGGGACCCGAAAGAUGGUGAACUAUGCCUGAAUAGGGUGAAGCCAGAGGAAACUCUGGUGGAGGCUCGCAGCGGUUCUGACGUGCAAAUCGAUCGUCAAAUUU
This 808-nucleotide ribosomal RNA is filed under the name Arthroderma curreyi. Its description in RNAcentral is "eukaryotic LSU rRNA". It matches the Rfam family "Eukaryotic large subunit ribosomal RNA", at positions 85 to 912 of the family's 3401-position model. Lineage: Eukaryota; Fungi; Ascomycota; Eurotiomycetes; Onygenales; Arthrodermataceae. The record is from RNAcentral.